AUGCAUGAAAAGGCCCCAGGGCUCCACACACCAACUCAGGAGGCUGAGGAGGUCACAUCCUGUGAGUUUCCCACCAUGGCCUGGAUGAUUCUUCUGCUCAGUCUCCUCUCCUAUGAGUCAGGGGUGGAUUCCCAGACAGUGGUGAUCCAGGAGCCAUCACUUUCUGUAUUGCCAGGAGAGACUGCGACCAUCACUUUUGGCCUCAGCACAGGGUCAGUCUCUACGGGUAACUACCCAAGCUGGUACCAGCAGAUACCAGGCCAUGCUCCCCGUGGUAUUAUAGAUAGCACAAAUAACCGACCCUCUGGGAUCCCUGAUCACUUCUCUGGAUCCAUCUCUGGGAACAAAGCCGUCCUCACCAUCACGAGGGCUCUUACAGAGGAUGAAGCUGAGUAUUAUUGCUUUCUGUACCUGAGCAGUGGCCCUUACACAGUGAUGUGA
Molecule: non-coding RNA, 441 nt
Organism: Sorex araneus (European shrew)
Lineage: Eukaryota; Metazoa; Chordata; Mammalia; Eulipotyphla; Soricidae
Source: the annotation of a RefSeq genome assembly